GGGGGCGAGGCCGGGGCGGCGAGAGGAGCGGAACCCGCGGGGUGAGCGGCCGCCACCGACGGCGCCCUCUGGCGGCAGGCGCGGACAGCGACCGGACAACGGAGCCGCUGAGGGGACCAGCCCUGAGACCCAAGCGGAGCCCGAGGGACACGCGGGCCAGAGAGACGGCGGCCGGAUGGAGGCGAGAGCCUCUCUGAGGAGUUUAUGGGGAAGAGUCAAGGCUAUGGCAGUCCGACGGAGAAGAGCCGCGAGGGGUGUUUAGAGGUCGGAACCGGGAUGGUCCUUACAGAGGACGCCAUGAAGGACGAGGGCCCUGUGGCGGAGGGGGUCCUGUGGCGGAGGACACGAGGAUUCGAGGCGCCGGAACUCCCACAGCCCUCACGGGCCUGUGACAGAAGCUGUCGGCGGAGCGCCCGGAGCUCGGCCCGCUGGUCAAGAGGCCGCAGGCCCAGCCGCUGAUUGGCUGCGGCGCCGGGCGGAAGUGAUGUCGCUGUCAGUGGCGCCUCCGGCUCCGGGGAAGCCGAGAGUUUCCGUAGGGUGGGGGCUGCGGCGGCAGCAGCAGCAGCGACAGUAGCAACAGAGGCUGUGGGUGAGUCGGGAAGAAAUGUAGUGGAGGCUGGACCUCGGAUAUACGGGGGACCAUGGACCGGGGCUGGUCGGCGUCUGCGGAGGAGGUCCUUCGCUGAGGGCACCUUGGGUCCUGGCGUGGGCGACCCCAGAGGGACCGGGUCUCCGGGUCGUAGGUUCCGGACAGCAUCGGUCCUAAGGAGAGAGAGGCACAUUGCACGGAGCAGCUGAGUCCGCGUGGGAGUGGGGGCAUCAGAAAACUCACUCUGUACAGACCCUGGUUCCUGUGAGUGGGGAGGCGGGGCUUGAAGGACGGUGGUUUAAGAGCAGAAUCUUGAGCAGGAAAGGUGCCCGUCUACCUUAGUUGAGGGUGAUGGGAGUCUAUUUUCAGAAAGUGCUUAAGAUUUCUUGCUCAGAGGUCUGAGAAUAAGUGCUGCUGUGCCUCUGGACCACAGGGAGAAAAAAACAAACAAACAAACAAAACAAAACAAAAACAAAACUCGGUUUCUCUUCCAGAAAUCUCUGUUGGAACCUACAGAGAUUGUAGGAGCCUGCCUGAGUGGAUGGCUGCUAUCAAACCAGACUUUGGAUUUACUUAUAUGCAGACUAGGGAAGACACCUGGGUAUCUUGGGCCAAAUUGAAGCAGCCCCAGGGGCAGGAAGAAUGUAAUAGGAAAUAUGCCAUGGAACUUAAGGACAUGGUGGCCCACACCUAUAAUAACAGCAGUAAAGGGGUGGAAGCAAGAGUUCUCAGCCAACCUUUAUUAUAUAAAGAAAGCUUGUUUAAGCCGGAUGUUGGUGGCACACACCUUUGUUAUCCCAGCACUCUGGAAGCGGAAGCAGGCUGGCUCUCUUGAGUUCCAGGCCAGCCUGGUAUACAGAGGAAGGGAGGUCCAAGGAGUCUUUGGUAAAACAGUCUUUCCAGAAUGUUUUAAGUCGGUACCAUCCAAGUGUAUGUCUGGACACCAAGACUGCUGCAGUGUGGGCUUGGUAGACAGUAGUGAGUUUUAAAUGAGCUCAAGACCCCACAUGUGCCUUGUUCCUGCCCCCACAGUUGCUCGAAAGUUCUAAUUUGGUGGGGUUUUUUCCCCUUUGAGUGGUUGAAGACAGGGCUGGAGCCUGUGCCCUCACUGAAAAUCCAACUUGGUGAGACGGGGCCAGCUCCUUAGUCCUUCUUGCCAGUCAUUUCCUCUCUCCCAGUUACCCACAUGCACUUAUACUACAUUUUAUUUCCAUUAUCUGGCUUUCUCCCUGAUUGACAGUUAGGUCUUGCUAAGCCCUUAAAGAAGCAAAUGAAAAUAACAUGAUAGGUUAAGAAGUGGGGUAUCUGGGUUCUGUAUUGGUGUGGCCUUAUUGUGAUGAAUGUCUCCUAGUCUGUGGCCUGUUUUAGAUCCCUGGAAAUGACAUUUAACACUGGUCACUGGUCAGGCCUGGCCUUCACUUUAGUUUCUGCUUUGCUGGCUUUAGUGGGACACCUUUUUGUUGUUGUUUCUGUACUUGGGGUCCACAGGUCUGCAGCUGUGUUCCCAGUCGACACUCACUGCUCACAGUGAAGGUGACAUCUCCCUCCAUUUUCACAAGAUGAGUGUGGUAUGGUUACCCAGGCCAGGACCUAAACUUCACAGAGAGCCCAGCCUGCUGUUCUGAUGCCGAAAGGGAGGCAGAAAGUCCCACACUUGGAUGCCCACCUGGGCCUGCCCAUCUGCCUCUGGCUGGAAUUAGCCAUCUUCUUUCUGGUUCCCCAGGUCAUGGGCCUAUCAGAGGCAGGUGGGCUUGACAUCUUGGGCACAGGGGGGCUGAGCUGGGCCGUACAUCUGGACAGCCUAGAAGGUGAGAGGAAGGAAGAGAGUCUGACGCAACAGGCCGAUGCUGUGGCCCAGGCAGCAGGGCUUGUGAAUGCUGGGCGCAUUGGAGAACUCCAGGGGCACUACCUCUUUGUCCAGCCUACUGGGCAUAGGCAAGCCAUGGAGGUGGAGGCCAUGCGGCAACAGGCAGAGGCUGUGUUAGCCAGGCAUGAAGCUGUGCGCUGGCACUCGGAGCAAACGCUGCUGAAGAGGGCCAAGCGCAGUAUCCACUUCAAUGAUCCCAAGUACCCUCAACAGUGGCACCUGAAUAAUCGGCGGAGCCCAGGAAGAGACAUCAAUGUGACAGGUGUGUGGGAGCGAAAUGUAACUGGGCGUGGGGUGACAGUGGUGGUGGUGGAUGACGGAGUGGAACACACCGUCCAGGACAUCGCACCCAACUACAGUCCAGAGGGAAGUUAUGACCUCAACUCUAAUGACCCAGAUCCCAUGCCCCACCCUGAUGAGGAGAAUGGUAACCACCAUGGGACCCGGUGUGCAGGAGAAAUUGCAGCUGUGCCCAACAACAGCUUCUGUGCAGUGGGUGUGGCCUACGGGAGCCGAAUAGCAGGUAUCCGGGUGCUGGAUGGACCACUUACUGACAGUAUGGAGGCUGUGGCGUUCAACAAGCACUAUCAGAUCAAUGACAUCUACAGCUGCAGCUGGGGCCCAGAUGAUGAUGGGAAGACAGUGGAUGGUCCUCAUCAGCUCGGAAAGGCUGCCUUACAACAUGGAGUGAUGGCUGGUCGCCAAGGCUUUGGAAGUAUCUUUGUGGUUGCCAGUGGUAAUGGGGGCCAGCACAAUGACAACUGCAACUAUGAUGGCUAUGCCAACUCCAUCUACACUGUCACCAUAGGAGCUGUGGAUGAGGAGGGACGGAUGCCUUUUUAUGCAGAGGAGUGUGCCUCCAUGCUGGCAGUCACCUUCAGUGGUGGAGACAAGAUGCUGCGGAGCAUUGUGACCACUGACUGGGACCUUCAGAAGGGCACUGGCUGCACUGAAGGCCACACAGGAACCUCAGCUGCAGCUCCUCUGGCAGCUGGAAUGAUAGCCCUCAUGCUGCAGGUGCGGCCCUGCCUCACAUGGCGGGAUGUACAGCACAUAAUUGUCUUCACAGCCAUCCAGUAUGAAGAUCAUCAUGCAGACUGGCUCACCAAUGAGGCUGGCUUCAGCCACAGCCAUCAGCAUGGUUUCGGCCUGCUCAACGCUUGGAGACUUGUCAAUGCAGCCAAGAUCUGGACAUCUGUCCCUUACUUAGCCUCCUAUGUCAGCCCCAUGCUGAAAGAAAAUAAGGCUGUUCCGAGGUCCCCCCACUCUCUGGAGGUGCUAUGGAAUGCAGGACGGACCUGGAGAUGUCGGGGCUGAAGACCUUGGAACAUGUGGCAGUGACAGUCUCCAUCACUCACCCACGACGUGGCAGCUUAGAACUGAAACUGUUUUGUCCCAGUGGCAUGAUGUCUUUGAUCGGCGCGCCCCGCAGCAUGGACUCGGAUCCUAAUGGCUUCAAUGCUUGGACCUUUUCCACUGUGCGGUGCUGGGGGGAAAGAGCAAGAGGCGUCUACAGACUGGUUAUCAGGGAUGUAGGAUAGCAACAAAAAUUCCUUGUUGAAACCACAUUUCAAGCCCUUUCACAUAUAACCAUCCUUCGGCCAGUCCUGAUAGGCAGGAGAUGAGCCGCUCCAGAUGGGCAUCCUCCAGCAGUGGCAGCUGACCCUGUAUGGCUCCAUGUGGAGUCCAGUAGACAUCAAGGACAGACAAAGUCUCUUAGAAAGUGCUAUGAGUGGAAAAUACCUGCAUGAUGGCUUCACCCUGCCUUGCCCACCUGGGCUGAAAAUCCCUGAGGAGGAUGGCUACACCAUUACCCCUAACACACUCAAGACCCUUGUGCUGGUAGGCUGCUUCAGUGUCUUCUGGACUAUUUACUACAUGCUAGAAGUGUGCCUGAGCCAGAGGAACAAGGCUUCCACCCAUGGCUGCAGGAAGGGAUGCUGCCCCUGGGCCCCACGAAGGCAAAACUCCAAGGAUGCAGGGACAGCACUAGAAUCAAUGCCACUGUGCAGCAGCAAGGACCUGGAUGGAGUGGAUUCAGAGCAUGGGGACUGCACAACUGCAUCUAGCUUCCUGGCCCCAGAGCUGGAUUGUCCUCCACACCAACCCCCAGACCUGCUGCAGGGGAAGAGCGGGCAGAUUUGCUGACCCCAGAGCCCAGCUUCCCCCAUGUACAACAGGCACUUCCUAAACUCGGUUAUGAGGCUUUCAAUCGUGGAAGCUCAGGAGGGAAUGGUCCUGAUAGUGACAUCUGGGACCCCAGGCCUCUGAAGCAUUUGCAGCCUCCUCAGGAGGGUGAGGGCCAUCUUAAUGCAGUGGUAAGGGACUGGUGAUCAUGGCUUCUCUAGCUGAACUUGGCUGAGAACCUUUGACAAGGGAUUGGCACCAAGACCAGGCAGCCCUUGAUUUCCUCGCUCUCUGGAGCUAGUCAGUGUCCUAGACCACCAGGACCUCUACUCAUUCAUGAGUUAGUUAUGCAGCAAGUCCCUAUAUACCUAGAAAUGCUCUUGUCAGAAGUGUCACUGCCAAGGGACCAGAGAGAGGCUGCUAAGAGCCUGGACAUGCCUACCCUGAAAGCAGCUGCCUUCAUUACCCUUUUCUGUGCGCCUGUUCUGAAGCCAACUUAAACCUGUCCACAUCUUCACUACCAUUCGCCCUUUCUGCUGAAGGAAUGGUGACGUGUUCCCAGGAGAACUGGGAGGCACAGGAUUCCCAGCACCCUUGCUGCCUCAUUGGGGAAGUUGGCCAGCUGGACUUCAGAGAGCUAAGACACAGCAUUUUCAAAGAUAGCCUGGGAGCACUGUCUCUGACCACCUGUCUUCCUCUGCACCGUGCUCAGGGAAAUGGCCUUCAUUCCAGAGGCCAGCUGUCUGCCUGACUUUUCCUCCGUUCUUGGCCUUCUCCCCUUCCCAUCUUCUGAGCUAAUUGUUAAUAUGAAUUUUUUAAUGCUUAAGAUUUGAUUUUUACUUUUCAAAGCAACAUUUUGUUGAAUUUUUUUCUGCACAGCUUUCCAAAAUAAAAAGCAGAAGUAUAAAAACCCAAACAAGUCCACCACUCCCAGUAUUCUCUCCUUCUGCCAAACCAGAGCUAUGCAGAUGCAGGUCACUCUUCUUCUCCAUAGCCUGCUUCCUCUGAAGCUCUGAGCCUGUGGGGCCAGAGGAGUCAUCCAGAAGCCAUCGGCCAGGAACGUGUGAGCCCAACAUGCUUCCACCCUCAGGGUUCCUGGAAUGCUAACAGGAGUGACAAACCAAACUGCCAGCCAGGCCGGAGAAAAGAUGGAGAUACAUGUAUAUAUAUAUAUAUUUAUAUAUUUUUCUUUUUUCCUUUUUGAAUUUCAACCCAAAAACAUAUUCCAGGAAAAGAUGUAGAGGCUGGGCUGGGUCUCCUUCAAAGGACAUUCGAUAUCAAGGACAGUGGGCUGGCCUACAGCCAGGCUACCCCAGCCCACUUCUCCCUGCUUACUCCAGGAUGAGAGGAACAGUAGAGGUGGGGGUACAGCUGGGAACAGGGGCCAGGGCAGUGGUGGCUCUGGGGUAAGAUGCUGGGCUGAGGCUAAGGAUAGGUGGGAGCUGCCCAUGUGCAGUCAUCUUUGCCCAGUGACACCUCAGAGCUGUCAGGGCUAAGAACCUACAUAGGCAUUUGUGAGGCAGGCUAAGCAGGAUGCUGCAGCUCAGGGCUGGCCUUCCCUUUCUAACUGAUGAUCUGCCGGGGUCGCCCAUAGCCUGUCAUGCCAGCCUGCGAGGCUCCUCUGUUGCUGCCCAUUUGAAGGCCAAUGACGUGCUUCCCCUCCUGCAGUUGGCUGUCUGUGAAGUCCCUCUUAUGCUCCUGGGCUUUCCUAGAAGAAAAGGAACCAGGGUAAGGCUUGCUAGAACUUAGUGUUCUCCAACUGUUUCCUGAUCCCUGCUGCUUCCCUGUUCGACUCCCUUCCUUUCCUGUUUGUCUUCUCUUUUUUUCCCCUGAGUUUGGCUCCAGGAGUUAGGGAGCCUGGUGGAGCACACGCUGGCAAAAGGUAGGAAUGCAGAAGUAGGACCUCAUUUCCCCUAGUCCAACACCCUUACCUGGGACGUCCCUGGCUCUGCUACACCUGAUCUUUACCACAACUGACCAGCCCAAGCCACCCCAACCCCACAGAGAGACCCAGUGGACACAUACUUCAUAAACCAGUUGGGAUCUCCACGGUAGUUUCCAUCGUUUUUGGUCACAGCCAAACUGCCCAAAGCCAUUAGAGUCCUCUGCACUGCUGCCAUAUCCUUACCUAUGAGAAGAGUGGCCAGGGAGCUAAUUUCAGGACCAUAUAGGCAAUACCUGCCCAGCUUCAAAAAUGGUCCAACCAAGAGCAAGUGGCACCAAAUCAAGAGGGUUCAAGAGACCAUAUUCUAAACCCUAGUGAGUAUGGUGUGGUAUAUAUUUGAUAUUCUAGGAUCCAAAACAGGCCCUUGUACCCAGAAGGGAAAUGCUGUACCACCAAGCUGGUCCCCUUGCUAUGUGUUCUCUUGGCAUAUCCCAUUCCUGCUAUGAACACAUCAACAGAGCUGGUUGUGGCUUUUGAUAUUCCUUCUCCUUGACUGAUAAUCUUGCUCUCCACUCGCCCACUGGCUCCAGCCCUUUUUUCCUUAUACCUUCAUAGAGGUCAACAGUCUGGAACAUGUCAGUCUUGAUGACUCCAUAAUCUUCAGCUGCCUUCAAGAAUUGAGCCACCUGUUCCAUCUGCUUAAAGACCAUGGAGGGUGGGUUCUCAGGCACCUUCACUGGCUUCGAUCCCUCAGGAUACAGGCUGUUCACCAAUUUGCUCAGAAUCUGCCAGGUACAGAACACAACUGAACACUCAGCUCAGGGAGUCUGUCUCACAGUUUGUAGGGUGGCAUACACAUCCCUAGAUUCCCUUCGCAAGGGUUACUCACCACACCAUUCUUCAGCCACACCUGGAAGCCCAGGCGCCCACGAUCUGGGCGGCCUACAUCAGGGCCACACUGCACUACAAUCCACUCCACUAGUCGCUCCUCCAGCUCCUCGUCAUACUUCUUCUCAAUUUUGGACUGCACUUCUCGGCUCAUGCCGUAGGAUGGACCCUUGUUGGCCAUGUUGAGGCAGAGCUAAAGUAUAGAGUGUGGAGAAAAGAACAAAGAGCCAGCAAGUUACUUUACUUCAUUUGUGCUAAGCAGGCCUUCCACUCUGAGGGACCCUAGACAUCAUAGCAUGACCUAGACCAGCUUUACCCACUUGCUGCAGAGACCCCUCUGAACUUGAACCUCAGAAAACAAGGUCUUAGAUAUUUGUCAGUCUAGAGCAAGAGUCUGUCAACUUUUUAUGUAAAACAGCAGAGUAAAUAUUUUAGACUUUACAGACCAUAUGGCCUCUAUUGUAUGAAAAUAGCCUAGCUGAUACAUAACCAAUGUGUGCCAAUAAAAUUUUGUUUAUAAAAA
Mus musculus (house mouse) is the source of this 7879-nucleotide RNA transcript. It is a transcript of the gene named proprotein convertase subtilisin/kexin type 7, with no coding region annotated. The record is from RefSeq and is marked validated. Lineage: Eukaryota; Metazoa; Chordata; Mammalia; Rodentia; Muridae. The transcript is spliced from 17 exons.